This 338-nucleotide long non-coding RNA is filed under the name Elaeis guineensis (African oil palm). RNAcentral's name for it is "long non-coding RNA (EGUI_LNC029401)". Lineage: Eukaryota; Viridiplantae; Streptophyta; Magnoliopsida; Arecales; Arecaceae. The record is from RNAcentral.
AUUGAGUUGGAGAUUAACGAUACCUAUAAGACUAGCAUGUCCUAUGUAUGCUCAGAAAUGAGGAUGGUUGAUCUCAUAACCACUUAUGUGGUGACACUAAUAUAAAGAUGUGGGUGCUCAUUAGAGAAUAAGUUCACUGGAUAGACCUACAAGAGAAUAUCAGAUGGAGUCUUAUUUACAUAUCAACUGAUAAUUCUUUAGUGAGAGUUGUGUAAGUGAUCCUUUGAUCUGAAAUCACCAUGGUACCUUGUGUACAUAAAUCCAUAUUUUGAUUCACUUCCUAACUUGGUUCUCUGAUCCUUGUAUGGGGUGUUCUAAAAAUGAUGAAGUAUAUAUAG